Molecule: ribosomal RNA, 253 nt
Filed under: uncultured bacterium
Lineage: Bacteria
Description: partial 16S ribosomal RNA
Rfam family: Bacterial small subunit ribosomal RNA
Source: RNAcentral
UACGUAGGGGGCAAGCGUUGUCCGGAUUUAUUGGGCGUAAAGAGCGUGUAGGCGGCUAGAUAGGUCCGUUGUGAAAACUGGAGGCUCAACCUCCAGCUGUCGAUGGAAACCAUCUGGCUAGAGUCCGGAAGAGGAGAGUGGAAUUCCUGGUGUAGCGGUGAAAUGCGCAGAUAUCAGGAAGAACACCCGUGGCGAAGGCGGCUUGCCAGAACGCACUCGACGGUGAGGGAUGAAAGCUGGGGGAGCAAACCGG